GAAGCCUAACUUCUGGAAUGCCAAGGAAAGCCUCACAGGAAGGUGUCUUUCUGGAGACUUUCUGCUGUGAAACCACCCAGGGAGGGUGCUGGGGUUUGCAGAUCUUUCAGUGUGUGAGGACCUCAGACUGAUAAGCAUAAGGCUAAGAAAGGAUACUUCUAAGAGCAGCCACUGAAGGAUACUCAAAAAGCUUCACACUUCAUAAAAGACGGGACAUUUUAACAACAAAAUACUGGGAAAACCUCAGUCUCAGAAUUACUCGAGUCAAUAUUCACAGUUAAUCGAAUGGAGGAAAGAACAAUUUUCUUUUUGGAACAAGACUCAACAGUGAAUCCCAGCUCUGCCAAUUAUUCCUUAUAUGGCACUGGCUGAGAUAAUUAAUAUUUCUGAGCCUCACAAAUAAAAUCACGCA
Leopardus geoffroyi (Geoffroy's cat) is the source of this 412-nucleotide long non-coding RNA. RefSeq lists it as uncharacterized. The transcript is spliced from 3 exons. NCBI's taxonomy places the organism in Eukaryota, Metazoa, Chordata, Mammalia, Carnivora, Felidae. The record is from RefSeq and is a predicted model, not a curated record.